This 88-nucleotide transfer RNA is filed under the name Lankesterella ceracifolia. RNAcentral describes it as "tRNA-Asp". The stretch from base 15 to 88 matches the Rfam family "tRNA". Rfam says of the family: Transfer RNA (tRNA) molecules are approximately 80 nucleotides in length. Their secondary structure includes four short double-helical elements and three loops (D, anti-codon, and T loops). The record is from RNAcentral. Lineage: Eukaryota; Viridiplantae; Streptophyta; Magnoliopsida; Asparagales; Orchidaceae.
GCCAUAUACAUGGUGGGAUUGUAGUUCAAUCGGUUAGAGCACCGCCCUGUCAAGGCGGAAGCUGCGGGUUCGAGCCCCGUCAGUCCCG